AGUGAACGCUGGCGGUAGGCCUAACACAUGCAAGUCGAACGGCAGCACAGUAAGAGCUUGCUCUUACGGGUGGCGAGUGGCGGACGGGUGAGGAAUACAUCGGAAUCUACUUUUUCGUGGGGGAUAACGUAGGGAAACUUACGCUAAUACCGCAUACGACCUACGGGUGAAAGCAGGGGAUCUUCGGACCUUGCGCGAUUGAAUGAGCCGAUGUCGGAUUAGCUAGUUGGCGGGGUAAAGGCCCACCAAGGCGACGCUCCGUAGCUGGUCUGAGAGGAUGAUCAGCAACACGGGAACUGAGAAACGUUCCAGACUCCGACGGGAGGCAGCAGUGGGGAAUAUUGGACAAGGGGCGCAAGCCUGAUCCAGCCAUACCGCGUGGGUGAAGAAGGCCUUCGAGUUGUAAAGCCCUUUUGUUGGGAAAGAAAAGCAGCAGGUUAAUACCCCGCUGUUCUGACGGUACCCAAAGAAUAAGCACCGGCUAACUUCGU
Molecule: ribosomal RNA, 491 nt
Filed under: uncultured bacterium
Lineage: Bacteria
Description: partial 16S ribosomal RNA
Rfam family: Bacterial small subunit ribosomal RNA
Source: RNAcentral